Molecule: long non-coding RNA, 983 nt
Organism: Monodelphis domestica (gray short-tailed opossum)
Lineage: Eukaryota; Metazoa; Chordata; Mammalia; Didelphimorphia; Didelphidae
Source: Ensembl
AAAAUGAGCAAACAAUGAAAAAAGAAACUAAAUAUAGAAAGCUAUUUUGGUGACAGGGUAGACUUAAACUUAGAAGACAACAAAGUCAAUACUGCUGCACCCAAAACUUCCAAGAAAAAUAUUAAUUGCUUUCAAGUCCAAAAAGAAUUAAUGAAGGAAUUCAAAAAUGGGAUUUUAAAAAUCAGAGAGGUAGAAGAAAAAAAUUGAGAAAAAAUAUGAGUGAUACAGGAAAAUCAUGAAAAAAGAGAAACCCAGAUCCUACAGAGACCAAUGUUAAAGUGACUGAAAUUCUCUCAACUAUAUUUUUAACAAAAUGUUUCUUUAAUCUACUGAGUUCUACUACAUAACAACUAGGAUGUUUGGGGGGAACUCAAGCCUUGGCAGCCCAAACCCUCUGAGAGGAAGUCAGGUUGACUCACCCCUGGGCAACAGGAGCUGAGCUUGGAAGACAACAAAAGUAAUCCACCAACCUCAUCCUCCAUAGUAACUAGGAUGAUAGGCUACCCUACUCUGCUUAUCUGCACCACAGUGCUGUUUCUCCCAUCAAGUUUCAUCAAUGUCCCAUCAGGACAUAAGCUCCUUGGAGCAGAAAUCCUGCUGCUGCCUCUGUCUCUAAGACAUAUAACUCUGUCUCUAUUUGCCUUGAUGGAAUAUUAGAAAAGGAAUGACCAUGGAAAAGGACCAAGAUGGCGGCCCUUCCCAUCCAUUACCAUCAUGUGUGUCAUGAUACCUUGAUUCACUAUGUUUCUGGGGUUCUCAUACCAAGGGCUAAUAUAUUGGUUUAUGAGACUCAGUGAAUGGACAUGAACAUCAGAAUGAGCUUUUUUUGCAGAAAGUUUCUUUCUUUGAAUUAAAAAUCUCAGCAUUUCCAUUUAUUUCAAGUGACAUUGUUUCAGUCCUGAGGUGGGACUUUUAAAUAUGCUUUUCAAUAGUUUGCAUAUGACUUAGAGAAUAAACUAGAGUAAUUUUCAGUAUUGUCCCCA